This 378-nucleotide unclassified non-coding RNA is filed under the name plant metagenome. RNAcentral's name for it is "partial contains 5.8S ribosomal RNA, internal transcribed spacer 2, and large subunit ribosomal RNA". The stretch from base 1 to 105 matches the Rfam family "5.8S ribosomal RNA", at positions 50 to 154 of the family's 154-position model. The record is from RNAcentral.
GAAAUGCGAUAAGUAAUGUGAAUUGCAGAAUUCAGUGAAUCGUCGAAUCUUUGAACGCAUCUUGCGCUCCUUGGUAUUCCUUGGAGCAUGCCUGUUUGAGUAUCAUGAAAUCUUCAAAGUAAAUCUUUUGUUAACUCAAUUGGUUUCUACUUUGGUAUUGGAGGUCUUUGCAGCUUCACACCUGCUCCUCUUUGUUCAUUAGCUGGAUCUCAGUGUUAUGCUUGGUUCCACUCGGCGUGAUAAGUUAUCUAUCGCUGAGGACACUGUAAAAGGUGGCCAAGGUAAAUGCAGAUGAACCGCUUCUAAUAGUCCAUUGACUUGGACAAUACUUUUAUGAUCUGAUCUCAAAUCAGGUAGGACUACCCGCUGAACUUAAGC